Vicugna pacos (alpaca) is the source of this 2040-nucleotide long non-coding RNA. RefSeq lists it as uncharacterized. The record is from RefSeq and is a predicted model, not a curated record. Lineage: Eukaryota; Metazoa; Chordata; Mammalia; Artiodactyla; Camelidae.
GAGAAAAGCCCCCGCCCCUCGUCAGCGCCAGCGCGGUUCCUACCGUCCCCCCAACCCCCGCCCGCCAACGUCCCCGCCCCACUCCGGCCCAGGGCUGCAUCCUGCCCAUCUAAGCGGUCGUUAAGCGGCCCCCGAGACCGACCGGAGGCUUGCUGCCCGCGGGCCCUGCGAUCCCAGAGGCGGGGCAGGGGUCGGCCUCCGUCUCUCGGGAGCUAACUUGGUUGGGGCCGGCCGCACAGCGUAGCGCAUCGCGGCGAAAGAGGCUUGGGUCCCGAAUGGCGCCGCUUCUCUGAGACCGCUGACCAUGGGCCUCGACCACCUCCGCGGCCGUCUCCCGACAGGCGGCUCAACGGUUGGGACCUCACUCACCCCGCGAAUAUCCCAGUAACCCAAAACCACAGCCGACUUGCACGACGACAUGACUACGUCGCUUGGGUCCCGGCGAGAACUGGCAAUACAACCCCCACGGGCAGAGCUUUAUAACCAACUUGCAGAUGAGACUAAGGCAGGCACAAGCCGCAGGGGACAGGAAUGAGCUCCAGCUGAGCACUAGAGGACAAAUUCGGCAGAGUGAGGGUGCCUGGAGCUGAGGCAGUCAGCAGACUUGAACUUGAUCUUGAAGCAGAGAGAAAAGGUGCCAUGAUCCCCACUUCACAGAUGAAGAGACUGAGGGUCAAGGAAGCAAGGUGACAUCCCAGUCAAGGACCACGUGACCCACCCUGCCCCCACAGGACUGGAGUUGGGGGUGGGUGGGUCAGAGGAAUCCCACAAAGACCAGGAAAGUCCUCCUCCCCCAGAGGACCCCACCCUUGCCCCAGCAUCUCUGGCCAGGCUGUGAGAUCUUCUGGGCAGAGAUCUGUUCUCAAACAACCAACAAUUUGUUGGCCUUUCCACUUUCUCUUUCAGAAAAGUUCUUGUGCAAAUUCUGUUCUGGUGGGUCAGAGAUUUUGUCCAGGCCUUGGUCAGAUAGAAAAUAAAGGAGGAGCCCUGGGGUGGAGGGAUAGGAGCAGGGGCUGGACCAGACCCCAGGGCAAGUCAGCCUGCCCCCACGAGGUUCAUACUGCUGCCUGAGGGCUGGCUUCUCUCCCCAGGCUGCCUCUGUCUCCCCUGCCUAAGUGGCAUGGAGGUGCUCAGAGGGCAGACUUCUGUCCACAGCCCUCCCUCCUCUGCCAGAUGAAAGAGAGGCCUGCUCCUACAGGGCUCCACUCUGGGCCUCAGGACAGCUGCCCUCACAUCCUCCCAUGACCCCUCCUUUGUAAUCCCCCAGGGCUUCUAAACUGGGGUCUCUCUCGUCUUUUCCUUGCCAGAGGCCCCUUGAAAAAAUCAAUUUAUAUAUGUAUAUGGAAUCAUUAUGUUGCAUACCUGAAACUAAUUUGUUAUAUGUCAAUUAUACUUCAUAAAAUAUAUACUUUGUAAAAUUAUAAAAUUUAUGAUAAAUCAGAUCAGAGGAAGGCAUAUAAAAAUUAACAGCAUUCUAUUCACCCUUCCUCCUUGCCCCCUCCUAUUCCCAAGGGAACCACUCUUAAUUUCUUAUUUAUCCCUAAGAUAUGUUCCUUAUAGACAAGCAUAUAUAGCUACACAUAACUAUAUAUGGUUUUUUAAAAAAUACAAAUGAAUCAUAUCAUAGCCAUAUUGUUUUUCAGCUUACUUUUUUCCCCCCACUUAAUAUCAUAUCUCGGGCAUCUUUUUCAUGUCGACAUCCAUAGACCUACCCAUUCUUUGCAAUGACUGCAAAGUCCUUUGUAAAGACUUCAGUAACCAGUUCCUUUUUUGGACAUUUAAGCUGCUUUCAGUUUUUACUAUUACGAACAGCGCUGAGAUGAACAACUGUAUUUGAAGAUUAAUUGUCAGCUGAUUAAAAUUUGAAUAUACGUUCCCAAAUUGCCUUCUAAAAACCACUGUAACAAUUUACGGUUCCACCAACAGUGUACGAGAAUGCCCAUUUUCUUGCAUCAGCACCAACACAGGUAUUAUCAAACCUUUAAAUCUCUGCUGAUUUGAUAGGUGAAAAUGAUAUCUCAUUAAAAAUUUUGAAAUGUC